AGAGUUUGAUCCUGGCUCAGAUUGAACGCUGGCGGCAGGCUUAACACAUGCAAGUCGAGCGGGCGAGGUUGCUUCGGUAACUGAGCUAGCGGCGGACGGGUGAGUAAUGCUUAGGAAUCUGCCUAUUAGUGGGGGACAACAUUCCGAAAGGGAUGCUAAUACCGCAUACGUCCUACGGGAGAAAGCAGGGGCUCUUUAUGACCUUGCGCUAAUAGAUGAGCCUAAGUCGGAUUAGCUAGUUGGUGGGGUAAAGGCCUACCAAGGCGACGAUCUGUAGCGGGUCUGAGAGGAUGAUCCGCCACACUGGGACUGAGACACGGCCCAGACUCCUACGGGAGGCAGCAGGUGGGGAAUAUUGGACAAGUGGGGGAACCCUGAUCCAGCCAUGCCGCGUGUGUGAAGAAGGCUUUUGGUUGUAAAGCACUUUAAGUGGGGAGGAGGCUUACCUGGUUAAUACCUGGGCUAAGUGGACGUUACCCACAGAAUAAGCACCGGCUAACUCUGUG
This 506-nucleotide ribosomal RNA is filed under the name uncultured bacterium. RNAcentral describes it as "bacterial SSU rRNA". It matches the Rfam family "Bacterial small subunit ribosomal RNA", at positions 8 to 507 of the family's 1533-position model. The record is from RNAcentral.